Molecule: ribosomal RNA, 372 nt
Filed under: uncultured organism
Description: partial 16S ribosomal RNA
Rfam family: Bacterial small subunit ribosomal RNA
Source: RNAcentral
GUAGGUGGCAAGCGUUGUCCGGAAUUAUUGGGCGUAAAGCGCGCGCAGGCGGUUCUUUAAGUCUGAUGUGAAAGCCCACGGGCUCAACCGUGGAGGGUCAUUGGAAACUGGGGAACUUGAGUACAGAAGAGGAAAGCGGAAUUCCACGUGUAGCGGUGAAAUGCGUAGAGAUGUGGAGGAACACCAGUGGCGAAGGCGGCUUUCUGGUCUGUAACUGACGCUGAGGCGCGAAAGCGUGGGGAGCAAACAGGAUUAGAUACCCUGGUAGUCCACGCCGUAAACGAUGAGUGCUAAGUGUUAGGGGGUUUCCGCCCCUUAGUGCUGCAGCUAACGCAUUAAGCACUCCGCCUGGGGAGUACGGCCGCAGGGCUG